UAGGGAAUCUUCCGCAAUGGGCGCAAGCCUGACGGAGCAACGCCGCGUGAGUGAUGAAGGCCUUCGGGUUGUAAAACUCUGUCUUCUGUGAAGAACCAUCCUGUGCAGAGAAAGCUCAGGACCUGACGGUAACAGAGGAGGAAGCCCCGGCUAACUACGUGCCAGCAGCCGCGGUAAUACGUAGGGGGCAAGCGUUGUCCGGAUUCACUGGGCGUAAAGCGCGCGCAGGCGGUCUCUCACGUCCGGGGUGAAAGCCCAGAGCUCAACUCUGGGAUUGCCUUGGAUACGGGGGGACUUGAGGAUCGGAGAGGCAAGGGGAAUUCCACGUGUAGCGGUGAAAUGCGUAGAGAUGUGGAGGAACACCUGUGGCGAAGGCGCCUUGCUGGCCGAUUUCUGACGCUGAGGCGCGAAAGCGUGGGGAGCAAACA
Molecule: ribosomal RNA, 428 nt
Filed under: uncultured Alicyclobacillus sp.
Lineage: Bacteria; Bacillati; Bacillota; Bacilli; Caryophanales; Alicyclobacillaceae
Description: bacterial SSU rRNA
Rfam family: Bacterial small subunit ribosomal RNA
Source: RNAcentral